UUUUUUUCUUUUGGAGAAAGUUGGAUUUGUUGGGGAGAACAAAGACGUAGGGCAACUGAAAGAAAUAACAUCAAGGGAAUAUUUCGAAUAUAGGAGGCUGUAGAAAAUGUUUACAUGCUGAGGAGAGUGGUCCACUCAAGGCGGAGACUGAUGAGGGGGAAAGAAAAUGACUGACUUAAGGUAUUCAGUCUGAAAGAGUAAGGGGAUGAGGUUCAGAGUACACGUGGGCAGAAACUGCCACGGGAUGUGAAGGAAGAAGAAAGUGAAGGCUGGAGAUGGAGGUAUGUUUGCAAGUUUGGGAAUGGAAAGUUCCUAACAGUUUCUAUCUUCUCACUGAAGUAAGACACAAAGUUUCGAGCUUAGAAUGAAGGAUGGAGAAAAGGUUUGAUACAAGUGGAGAAAAAAAGAGGUUGUUCUCAUGAGGAGUAGGAGAGUGAGCUGAAAUAGUAGGCUAGUCAUGGAGCAAGCACAUAUGAAGGGGUGGUCAGGAGUCCAAAAUGAGACCAGCAUGACCCAUUGUGUGGUUUCCAGCAAAGCUCAACUAAUAGGUAAAAGCCUGGGUACAUCAGGGGAGUGGGUGCAUCCAUGGCAUGACUAUUGCCUGCUGGAUGCAAUGGGUCUUUUUAGGGCCGCACCUGCAGCAUGUGGAGGUUAUGGGAUUCAGAGAGUGGGAUCACUCUCUGAUUGUGGAAGUGGUUCAGUUUCUGAAUAACUAGCUCCUGGACAUCUAAGAACUAAUGGCUGAGGUCAAAUGGAGGAUUUUUUCCGGAUAUAAAUAAGGAAGGUAUUGAUGGAUCAUCUGUUGGCAUACUGGAGUAAUCAAGGAUGGAGAUAAGAAUUGUAAUAGGGAUAUUUAUGGGACCCAAUGGAAGAGCCAACCAAAGUCCUGUAGGAAAUAGAGUCCAGCUCUUUUCUCGGUGAUCCGUGUCUGAGUAGAUUGUAUAUACUUAGAGUUGCUAGUGGCUUUCUUCACCACUGCAUGGAUAGAGCCUCCUUAAAUAUUAACUCAACACCAGAGGAAAACAGAGAUGAGAAAGGGGAAAGAGACAAGGGCCUGGGCAUAACCUUUGAUCCCCUGAAUCUACACUUUCUGAAGUCUGACUGCCCCUGGUGUGUCAAGCUAGCCUAAGAGAUUAUUUUAUUUUUUGUCACUGGCAAGCACAAAGCAUAAACUAAUAUGGAUGGAUCUGUGUCACAAAAAGGAAGUAUAUGGAAAUGGAACAGAUUUGUUGUUUACCCACGCAAUAGUCAUUCUUCCAUUUUUCUUUGCUGGCAGAAUGGUUACCCAUGCCUGCACUGCAGUUCUCAAAGAAAGGUCUAAGUCAAUCACUGCUAUUGCAGUCUCCUUGACAGUGAUGCUGAUAAAAUUUGCAGGAAAAUCUACUGGAGAGGGGAAUAUAGAGGGGUACUGUGCCUCGUUUCAUGGCGUUUUUUUUAACAAAUUCUUCAAUUUGUCACAACCCUGUGUCGAGCCAGUCUGGAGGUACCAUUUUUCCAAAGGUAUUUGCUUUGUAUCUGUCAUAUUU
This 1526-nucleotide long non-coding RNA is filed under the name Sus scrofa (pig). Its description in RNAcentral is "lncRNA (ENSSSCG00025044918.1)". The record is from RNAcentral. Lineage: Eukaryota; Metazoa; Chordata; Mammalia; Artiodactyla; Suidae.